RNAcentral lists this ribosomal RNA (405 nucleotides) under uncultured bacterium. Its description in RNAcentral is "bacterial SSU rRNA". It matches the Rfam family "Bacterial small subunit ribosomal RNA", at positions 356 to 773 of the family's 1533-position model. The record is from RNAcentral.
GGGGAAUAUUGCGCAAUGGGCGAAAGCCUGACGCAGCAACGCCGCGUGAGGGAUGAAGUACGUCGAGAUGUAAACCUCUUUCAGCAGGGACGAAGCGAAAGUGACGGUACCUGCAGAAGAAGCGCCGGCUAACUACGUGCCAGCAGCCGCGGUAAUACGUAGGGCGCAAGCGUUGUCCGGAUUUAUUGGGCGUAAAGGGCUCGUAGGCGGUCUGUCACGUCGGAUGUGAAAACUCGGAGCUCAACUCCGGGCCUGCAUUCGAUACGGGCAGACUAGAGUUCGGUAGGGGAGACUGGAACUCCUGGUGUAGCGGUGGAAUGCGCAGAUAUCAGGAAGAACACCGAUGGCGAAGGCAGGUCUCUGGGCCGACACUGACGCUGAGGAGCGAAAGCGUGGGGAGCGAAC